UACGGAGGAUGCAAGCGUUAUCCGGAAUGAUUGGGCGUAAAGCGUCCGCAGGUGGCAAUGUAAGUCUGCUGUUAAAGAGUCUAGCUCAACUAGAUAAAGGCAGUGGAAACUACAUAGCUAGAGUGCGUUCGGGGUAGAGGGAAUUCCUGGUGUAGCGGUGAAAUGCGUAGAUAUCAGGAAGAACACCGGUGGCGAAGGCGCUCUACUAGGCCGCAACUGACACUGAGGGACGAAAGCUAGGGGAGCGAAUGGG
RNAcentral lists this ribosomal RNA (253 nucleotides) under uncultured bacterium. Its description in RNAcentral is "partial 16S ribosomal RNA". It matches the Rfam family "Bacterial small subunit ribosomal RNA", at positions 524 to 776 of the family's 1533-position model. The record is from RNAcentral.